RNAcentral lists this ribosomal RNA (445 nucleotides) under uncultured bacterium. Its description in RNAcentral is "partial 16S ribosomal RNA". It matches the Rfam family "Bacterial small subunit ribosomal RNA", at positions 354 to 796 of the family's 1533-position model. The record is from RNAcentral.
GUGAGGAAUAUUGCGCAAUGGAGGCAACUCUGACGCAGCCAUGCCGCGUGCAGGAAGAAGGCGCUACGCGUUGUAAACUGCUUUUAACCGGGAAGAAACCCCAGGACGUGUCCUGGGUUGACGGUACCGGAGGAAUAAGCACCGGCUAACUUCGUGCCAGCAGCCGCGGUAAUACGAAGGGUGCAAGCGUUAUCCGGAUUCAUUGGGUUUAAAGGGUGCGUAGUCGGAGCGUUAAGUCAGUGGUGAAAUCAUGCAGCUUAACUGUAGACUUGCCAUUGAUACUGGCGCUCUUGAGUGCGCUUGAAGUGGGCGGAAUGUGCCGUGUAGCGGUGAAAUGCUUAGGUAUGGCACAGAACACCAAUUGCGAAGGCAGCUCACUAAGGCGAUACUGACGCUGAGGCACGAAAGCGUGGGGAUCGAACAGGAUUAGAAACCCUUGUAGUCC